GUUAAAGUGGCAGAUUUAUGCGGUAGCUUUAAAACCUACAGAGGGCCUUGCCCUUUAACA
RNAcentral lists this transfer RNA (60 nucleotides) under Crypturopus tuberculatus. RNAcentral's name for it is "tRNA-Leu". RNAcentral also lists the same sequence under 1 other name. The record is from RNAcentral. Lineage: Eukaryota; Metazoa; Arthropoda; Malacostraca; Amphipoda; Micruropodidae.